RNAcentral lists this ribosomal RNA (471 nucleotides) under uncultured bacterium. Its description in RNAcentral is "partial 16S ribosomal RNA". It matches the Rfam family "Bacterial small subunit ribosomal RNA", at positions 28 to 507 of the family's 1533-position model. The record is from RNAcentral.
GACGAACGCUGGCGGCGUGCUUAACACAUGCAAGUCGAACGAUGAAGCGGUGCUUGCACCGUGGAUUAGUGGCGAACGGGUGAGUAAUACGUGAGUGACCUACCUUUGACUCUGGGAUAAGCCUGGGAAACUGGGUCUAAUACCGGAUACGACCAAUCUCUGCAUGGGGUGUUGGUGGAAAGCGUUAUGGAGUGGUUUUAGAUGGGCUCACGGCCUAUCAGCUUGUUGGUGAGGUAAUGGCUUACCAAGGCGACGACGGGUAGCCGGCCUGAGAGGGUGACCGGCCACACUGGGACUGAGACACGGCCCAGACUCCUCCGGGAGGCAGCAGUGGGGAAUAUUGCACAAUGGGCGCAAGCCUGAUGCAGCGACGCCGCGUGAGGGAUGACGGCCUUCGGGUUGUAAACCUCUGUUAGCAUCGAAGAAGCGAAAGUGACGGUAGGUGCAGAGAAAGCGCCGGCUAACUACGUG